This 772-nucleotide ribosomal RNA is filed under the name uncultured Enterobacteriaceae bacterium. RNAcentral's name for it is "bacterial SSU rRNA". It matches the Rfam family "Bacterial small subunit ribosomal RNA", at positions 730 to 1502 of the family's 1533-position model. The record is from RNAcentral. Lineage: Bacteria; Pseudomonadati; Pseudomonadota; Gammaproteobacteria; Enterobacterales; Enterobacteriaceae.
CUGACAGAUACUGACGCUGAGAUGCGAAAGCGUGGGGAGCAAACAGGAUUAGAUACCCUGGUAGUCCACGCUGUAAACGAUGUCGAUUUGGAGUUUGUUGCCUAGAGUGAUGGGCUCCGAAGCUAACGCGAUAAAUCGACCGCCUGGGGAGUACGGCCGCAAGGUUAAAACUCAAAUGAAUUGACGGGGGCCCGCACAAGCGGUGGAGCAUGUGGUUUAAUUCGAUGCAACGCGAAGAACCUUACCUGGUCUUGACAUCCAUAGAAUUCUGCAGAGAUGUGGGAGUGCCUUCGGGAACUAUGAGACAGGUGCUGCAUGGCUGUCGUCAGCUCGUGUUGUGAAAUGUUGGGUUAAGUCCCGCAACGAGCGCAACCCUUAUUCUUUGUUGCCAGCGAUUUGGUCGGGAACUCAAAGGAGACUGCCGUUGAUAAAGCGGAGGAAGGUGGGGACGACGUCAAGCCAUCAUGGCCCUUACGACCAGGGCUACACACGUGCUACAAUGGCGUAUACAAAGGGAAGCGAAGGUGCGAGCUGGAGCGGAUCUCAUAAAGUACGUCUAAGUUCGGAUUGGAGUCUGCAACUCGACUCCAUGAAGUCGGAAUCGCUAGUAAUCGUAGAUCAGAAUGCUACGGUGAAUACGUUCCCGGGCCUUGUACACACCGCCCGUCACACCAUGGGAGUGGGUUGCACCAGAAGUAGAUAGCUUAACCGCGAGGGGGGCGUUUACCACGGUGUGAUUCAUGACUGGGGUGAAGUCGUAACAAGGUAACCA